AGAGUUUGAUCCUGGCUCAGGACGAACGCUAGCGGCGUGCCUAAUGUAUGCAAGUCGAGCGGGGUGAGAGGCUUCGGCCUCUCAUUCAGCGGCAAACGGUUGAGUAACACGUAGGCAACCUGCCCCAGAGACGGGGAUAGCCCGCCGAAAGGCGGAUUAAUACCGGAUGUGGCGGGGGAGGACAUCCUCUCUCUGCUAAAGGUGGCAACACGCUCUGGGAUGGGCCUGCGGCCUAUCAGCUAGUUGGUGGGGUAACGGCCUACCAAGGCGACGACGGGUAGCUGGUCUGAGAGGAUGGUCAGCCAGACAGGGACUGAGACACGGCCCUGACUCCUUUGGGGGGCAGCAAUGAGGGAUAUUGCACAAUGGGGGAAACCCUGAUGCAGCGACGCCGCGUGGGUGACGAAGUCCUUCGGGAUGUAAAGCCCUUUUCUGGGGGAAGAGAACGGACGGUACCCCAGGAAGAAGCCCCGGCUAACUACGUGCCAGCAGCCGCGGUAAUACGUAGGGGGCAAGCGUUGUCCGGAAUUACUGGGCGUAAAGCGCGUGUAGGCGGGACGGUAAGUCGGACGUGAAAGGCGCGGGCUCAACCCGCGAGCGCCGUUCGAAACUGCCGUUCUUGAGGGUCGAAGAGGAGAGUGGAAUUCCUGGUGUAGCGGUGAAAUGCGUAGAGAUCAGGAGGAACACCCGUGGCGAAGGCGGCUCUCUGGUCGGCCUCUGACGCUGAGACGCGAAAGCGUGGGGAGCGAACGGGAUUAGAUACCCCGGUAGUCCACGCCGUAAACGAUGGUCACUAGGUGUAAGCGGUAUCGACCCCGCUUGUGCCGCAGCUAACGCAAUAAGUGACCCGCCUGGGGAGUACGGCCGCAAGGUUGAAACUCAAAGGAAUUGACGGGGGCCCGCACAAGCGGUGGAGCAUGGGGAUUAAUUCGUCAUUAACCGAAGAACCUUACCAGGGUUUGACAUCCGCGGAAAGUCCGUGAAAGCGGCACCCUCCGGGGUAACUCGGACCGCGAGACAGGUGUUGCCAUGGCUGUCGUCAGCUCGUGUCGUGAGAUGUUGGGUUAAGUCCCGCAACGAGCGCAACCCUCACGCGAUGUUGCCAGCGUCAAGUCGGGCACUCUUCGCGAACUGCCCGGGUAACCGGGAGGAAAGGUGGGGAUGAGGAGGCAAGUGCCAGGGCCUUACAUCAUAUCCUGGGCUUCACCCAUGCCCAAUGCACGGGCGCGACAAAGACACGCAAACCCCGCGAGGUGGAGCGAAUCCCAAAAAGGCGCUCUCAGUUCGGAUUGCAGGCUGCAACUCGCCUGCAUGAAGUCGGAAUCGCUAGUAACCGCCGGUCAGCUAAACGGCGGUGAAUACGUUCCCGGGCCUUGUACACACCGCCCGUCACGUCACCUGAGUCUGCUGCACCCGAAGUCACUGGCCCAACCCGCAAGGGAGGGAGGGUCCGGAAGGUGUGGCCGGUAAGGGGGACGAAGUCGUAACAAGGUAGCCGUAUCGGAAGGUGCGGCUGGAUCACCUCCUU
This 1528-nucleotide ribosomal RNA is filed under the name uncultured soil bacterium. Its description in RNAcentral is "bacterial SSU rRNA". It matches the Rfam family "Bacterial small subunit ribosomal RNA". The record is from RNAcentral.